Molecule: ribosomal RNA, 651 nt
Filed under: Salmonella enterica subsp. enterica serovar Cerro
Lineage: Bacteria; Pseudomonadati; Pseudomonadota; Gammaproteobacteria; Enterobacterales; Enterobacteriaceae
Description: partial 23S ribosomal RNA
Rfam family: Bacterial large subunit ribosomal RNA
Source: RNAcentral
GGGUUGUGAGGUUAAGCGACUAAGCGUACACGGUGGAUGCCCUGGCAGUCAGAGGCGAUGAAGGGCGUGCUAAUCUGCGAUAAGCGCCGGUAAGGUGAUAUGAACCGUUAUAACCGGCGAUACCCGAAUGGGGAAACCCAGUGUGAUUCGUCACACUAUCAUUAACUGAAUCCAUAGGUUAAUGAGGCGAACCGGGGGAACUGAAACAUCUAAGUACCCCGAGGAAAAGAAAUCAACCGAGAUUCCCCCAGUAGCGGCGAGCGAACGGGGAGGAGCCCAGAGCCUGAAUCAGCAUGUGUGUUAGUGGAAGCGUCUGGAAAGGCGCGCGAUACAGGGUGACAGCCCCGUACACAAAAGCGCAUGUGCUGUGAGCUCGAUGAGUAGGGCGGGACACGUGGUAUCCUGUCUGAAUAUGGGGGGACCAUCCUCCAAGGCUAAAUACUCCUGACUGACCGAUAGUGAACCAGUACCGUGAGGGAAAGGCGAAAAGAACCCCGGCGAGGGGAGUGAAAAAGAACCUGAAACCGUGUACGUACAAGCAGUGGGAGCCCCACCACUAAGCCAGUGGUGAACUCCACAUACGCAUCCUUUGCUGAGGAUACGGUUAACGGAGCGAAAGCGAUGUUCAACCGCAAAACAAGCAGAGGGGGC